RNAcentral lists this transfer RNA (71 nucleotides) under Mordacia mordax (southern lamprey). RNAcentral's name for it is "tRNA-Pro". It matches the Rfam family "tRNA". Rfam says of the family: Transfer RNA (tRNA) molecules are approximately 80 nucleotides in length. Their secondary structure includes four short double-helical elements and three loops (D, anti-codon, and T loops). Further hydrogen bonds mediate the characteristic L-shaped molecular structure. tRNAs have two regions of fundamental functional importance: the anti-codon, which is responsible for specific mRNA codon recognition, and the 3' end, to which the tRNAs corresponding amino acid is attached (by aminoacyl-tRNA synthetases). tRNAs cope with the degeneracy of the genetic code in two manners: having more than one tRNA (with a specific anti-codon) for a particular amino acid; and 'wobble' base-pairing, i.e. permitting non-standard base-pairing at the 3rd anti-codon position. Lineage: Eukaryota; Metazoa; Chordata; Hyperoartia; Petromyzontiformes; Petromyzontidae. The record is from RNAcentral. RNAcentral also lists the same sequence under 1 other name.
CAAAGAAUAAUUUAAUUUAAAAAUACUAGCUUUGGGGGCUAGUAAUAGAGAUUCUAAUUCUCUUUCUUUGA